RNAcentral lists this ribosomal RNA (253 nucleotides) under uncultured bacterium. RNAcentral describes it as "partial 16S ribosomal RNA". It matches the Rfam family "Bacterial small subunit ribosomal RNA", at positions 524 to 776 of the family's 1533-position model. The record is from RNAcentral.
UACGAAGGGGGCUAGCGUUGCUCGGAAUUACUGGGCGUAAAGCGUGCGCAGGCGGCUUCUCAAGUCAGGGGUGAAAGCCCAGAGCUCAACUCUGGAAUUGCCUUUGAGACUGAGUGGCUUGAGUACGAGAGAGGUGAGUGGAAUUCCCAGUGUAGAGGUGAAAUUCGUAGAUAUUGGGAAGAACACCGGUGGCGAAGGCGGCUCACUGGCUCAUUACUGACGCUCAGGCGCGAUAGCGUGGGGAUCAAACAGG